CUCAUGGUGUUACAAUCUUA
Molecule: non-coding RNA, 20 nt
Filed under: Arabidopsis thaliana (thale cress)
Lineage: Eukaryota; Viridiplantae; Streptophyta; Magnoliopsida; Brassicales; Brassicaceae
Source: RNAcentral